Molecule: long non-coding RNA, 2210 nt
Organism: Eucalyptus grandis
Lineage: Eukaryota; Viridiplantae; Streptophyta; Magnoliopsida; Myrtales; Myrtaceae
Exons: 2
Source: RefSeq, a predicted model, not a curated record
UCCCCAUUGCCAGAGCUUCCCUCAAGUUUGAAAUGUCUAGUGAUUGCAGAUGCCGAAUUCCCUGCUCUUCCUGAUCUAUCGCACUUGAAGAGGCUACUAAAAUUACAGCUCAGCGACUUCCCCAAUCUGGCGGAGAUUCCAGGUUUGGGGGAACUAGAAUCACUGGAGUCUUUGCACAUUACCAUGUGUGAUGUGAUCAAACAAUUGCCUAACUUAUCGAAGUUGAAAAAUCUACAGCAUCUCGAGCUAUGCCGUUGUAGGAAGUUGAGAGCCGUCGAAGGCUUGAAAGAACUGAAUAAUUUGGUAUAUGUGAAGAUAGAAAAUUGCAGGUCAAUGGAAAGGUUGCCCGAUGUGUCGACAUUACCAAGUUGGAGUUGGGUUUGGCAGAAGCUUUAAAACAAACCGUUCUCUCUACCGUGCAACUGAUUGAAGAAUAUCAUGACUGGUAUCAAACUGGUGCAGUAGAAAGAGCUGGCGGUUGGGAAGAGAGUUGGCGGUGAGUUAGUCAGAGUAUUGAGGACCUGGUCAUGGGAUAAUGCCAAACCUGCGGGCCCUGCACGUGGGAUAAAUGCCACACAUUCACCACCGACAUGAACUAAUCCGAGUGUCUCUCAUGUCACUUCUUGAGCCAUCUAUUGUAUUUCUUGAUGUUGUUUUAAUUUAUAGGGUGCCAAAGUACGAGAAUGCAUCGUAUCUCUAAUUUACUCCCAUUAAUAUUCAGUGAUUAUUCCACGCAUUCAUCUUAGGCCAAGCUCUAAGUGCAAUUAGAGUAUUUGAAUAUCAAUCACGAGGUUCCAUUUAUUUAGUACGUUAGUACUUUUGGAUCCAUCGGCAGCCACUGAGCCCCCUUUUCCUUAAUGCUGUUGACUUUAUUUCUUUUUACGUGAAAUUUUAUAAAGAGAAAUAACCCAAAAUAAAAUCUUCAUAAACCAGCAUCCUAAAGGAAAAUAAUCUACACACAACUGCAAUAUAAGUUAAAGCGGAAAGCGCCACCCAUAUUUUUGUAGGAUGAAGAGCAUAAUAGAUACGACAACACUUUGAGAAAUUAUUCACCCGAGUGGGGUAUAAAGCCUAAAAUGAGGGAAUUCCCAAGCUUUAUUAAAACUUGAAAUCAAGGAGGUCACCUUAACGUAUCCGUCCAUUUUAUGACGAAAAGUUUGUAAACGCUGAAGAGGAAAAUGCGAUCUAGGGGACGACUGUUGAUUGAUGCACCUUUGUACCUUUAGUCAACGAGGGCUCGAGUGCUGAGCCUCGUGGCGGGCGAAGACUGCGCUACUGCCGAAUCUCCCUUGCCGUGCAGGACGUCGCUGGGAUUCAAAGUCGUGAUCCUGGAGGGAUUGGGCAGCCUCUGGCAGUUUUGGUGGGGAUCAACCAGCUCGUCUAUGUUUUUCCAUCUGUAGGGUGCUGUGAAUACUCCUGGUGUCACCGCUGAUAUCCGCCACAAAGACACCGGUGCCAUGGUGAGUUUCCCCCUCUGAUCGUUAAUUUGCUUGCUAUUUGCUGAAUUUAGGAUGGUGGAAUUGCUAGGCUCUAGAUAAAGAUGAAAUUUGAUAGUGUUGAUUGUUCUGUGGGGAUAUUGUUUGGAUUACCUUUCCGGAUGAGUGAGCUUCAUAUCAUUAGUGAGUAUAUGGAUCAUUUUUUAUGUCAGACUAAUUUGAUAUUGUUGAUUGUUUUCUGUGGAUUUCUGGGACAACAAAAACUGGAGAAGGCCCCUGUAGGGAUGGACCUCGUCAUCAUCCCUGCCGGAGUUCCUGGGAGAACAGGAAUGAAAAGAGAUGACCUGUUCAAAAUGAGUGCUGGAACAACAGAACCCUUUGUGAAGGAGUUGCCACAUGUUGCCCGAAUGCCAUAGUCAACUGGAUUUGUAGCUCUGUUAACUCCACAGUUCCCAUUGCAGCCAAAGUUUCCAAGAGCGCUGGCACUUAUGAUCCAAGAGACUGUUGGGUGUGACCAUGCUUGACGUAGUUAGAGCAAAUACUUUUGUGGUACAUAUCACUUCUGCUUGUACUGUCUUGCUGAUACGGUCAAGAAGCAUCAAGUAUAUUUAUAGAGUUCAGAGUGUCAGGUCGUCGCUUCGUAUGAGCCUACAAGUUUAGCACGCUUGUCUGGCGUGCAAUCACUUGCUCCAAGGGCAGCUAACUUUUUCCCAUCUUGCAAUAAGACAGCUAAGUGGACCCGGUAUUUCAUUAAAUAGGCUAAUGCCUCAUGUA